RNAcentral lists this ribosomal RNA (253 nucleotides) under uncultured bacterium. RNAcentral's name for it is "partial 16S ribosomal RNA". It matches the Rfam family "Bacterial small subunit ribosomal RNA", at positions 524 to 776 of the family's 1533-position model. The record is from RNAcentral.
UACGAAGGGGGCUAGCGUUGCUCGGAAUCACUGGGCGUAAAGCGCACGUAGGCGGCUUGUUAAGUCAGGGGUGAAAUCCUGGAGCUCAACUCCAGAACUGCCUUUGAUACUGGCGAGCUUGAGUUCGGGAGAGGUGAGUGGAACUGCGAGUGUAGAGGUGAAAUUCGUAGAUAUUAGGAAGAACACCGGUGGCGAAGGCGGCCCACUGGCUCGAUACUGACGCUGAGGUGCGAAAGCGUGGGGAGCAAACAGG